AUGAACGCUGGCGGCGUGCCUAAUACAUGCAAGUCGAGCGAACGGACGAGAAGCUUGCUUUUCUGAUGUUAGCGGCGGACGGGUGAGUAACACGUGGAUAACCUACCUAUAAGACUGGGAUAACUUCGGGAAACCGGAGCUAAUACCGGAUAAUAUUUUGAACCGCAUGGUUCAAAAGUGAAAGACGGUCUUGCUGUCACUUAUAGAUGGAUCCGCGCUGCAUUAGCUAGUUGGUAAGGUAACGGCUUACCAAGGCAACGAUGCAUAGCCGACCUGAGAGGGUGAUCGGCCAACCGGGAACUGAGAAACGGUCCAGACUCCUACGGGAGGCAGCAGGAGGGAAUCUUCCGCAAUGGGCGAAAGCCUGACGGAGCAACGCCGCGUGAGUGAUGAAGGUCUUCGGAUCGUAAAACUCUGUUAUUAGGGAAGAACAUAUGUGUAAGUAACUGUGCACAUCUUGACGGUACCUAAUCAGAAAGCCACGGCUAACUACGU
This 495-nucleotide ribosomal RNA is filed under the name uncultured bacterium. RNAcentral describes it as "partial 16S ribosomal RNA". It matches the Rfam family "Bacterial small subunit ribosomal RNA", at positions 29 to 506 of the family's 1533-position model. The record is from RNAcentral.